GGGGCUGAUUCUGGAUUCGACGGGAUUUGCGAAACCCAAGGUGCAUGCCGAGGGGCGGUUGGCCUCGUAAAAAGCCGCAAAAAAAUAGUCGCAAACGACGAAACCUACGCUUUAGCAGCUUAAUAACCUGCUUAGAGCCCUCUCUCCCUAGCCUCCGCUCUUAGGACGGGGAUCAAGAGAGGUCAAACCCAAAAGAGAUCGCGUGGAUGCCCUGCCUGGGGUUGAAGCGUUAAAACGAAUCAGGCUAGUCUGGUAGUGGCGUGUCCGUCCGCAGGUGUCAGGCGAAUGUAAAGACUGACUAAGCAUGUAGUACCGAGGAUGUAGGAAUUUCGGACGCGGGUUCAACUCCCGCCAGCUCCACCA
RNAcentral lists this transfer-messenger RNA (363 nucleotides) under Salmonella enterica. Its description in RNAcentral is "Standard tmRNA". It matches the Rfam family "transfer-messenger RNA". Rfam says of the family: Bacterial tmRNA, also known as 10Sa RNA or SsrA, is named for its dual tRNA and mRNA-like properties. Its role is to liberate the mRNA from a stalled ribosome. Lineage: Bacteria; Pseudomonadati; Pseudomonadota; Gammaproteobacteria; Enterobacterales; Enterobacteriaceae. RNAcentral also lists the same sequence under 1 other name. The record is from RNAcentral.